GUCGAGAAUCUUUCACAAUGGGGGCAACCCUGAUGGAGCGACGCCGCGUGGAGGAUAAGGUCUUCGGAUUGUAAACUCCUGUCAUGCGUGAACAAGGUUGCUUGGUUAAUACCUGGGCAAAUUGAUGGUAACGCAAGAGGAAGAGACGGCUAACUCUGUGCCAGCAGCCGCGGUAAUACAGAGGUCUCAAGCGUUGUUCGGAAUCACUGGGCGUAAAGGGUGCUUAGGUGGCGUGGUAAGUCAGAUGUGAAAGCCCGGGGCUCAACCUCGGAACUGCAUCCGAUACUGCCAUGCUAGAGUACUGGAGAGGUGACUAGAAUUCUCGGUGUAGCAGUGAAAUGCGUAGAUAUCGAGAGGAAUACCAAAGGAGUAGGCAGGUCACUGGACAGUUACUGACACUGAGGCACGAAGGCCAGGGGAGCGAACGGGAUUAGAAACCCCGGUAGUCC
RNAcentral lists this ribosomal RNA (449 nucleotides) under uncultured bacterium. Its description in RNAcentral is "partial 16S ribosomal RNA". It matches the Rfam family "Bacterial small subunit ribosomal RNA", at positions 354 to 796 of the family's 1533-position model. The record is from RNAcentral.